RNAcentral lists this ribosomal RNA (157 nucleotides) under uncultured Aspergillus. RNAcentral's name for it is "5.8S ribosomal RNA". It matches the Rfam family "5.8S ribosomal RNA". From Rfam's summary of the family: 5.8S ribosomal RNA (5.8S rRNA) is a component of the large subunit of the eukaryotic ribosome. It is transcribed by RNA polymerase I as part of the 45S precursor that also contains 18S and 28S rRNA. Functionally, it is thought that 5.8S rRNA may be involved in ribosome translocation. Lineage: Eukaryota; Fungi; Ascomycota; Eurotiomycetes; Eurotiales; Aspergillaceae. The record is from RNAcentral.
AAACUUUCAACAAUGGAUCUCUUGGUUCCGGCAUCGAUGAAGAACGCAGCGAACUGCGAUAAGUAAUGUGAAUUGCAGAAUUCAGUGAAUCAUCGAGUCCUUGAACGCACAUUGCGCCCCCUGGCAUUCCGGGGGGCAUGCCUGUCCGAGCGUCAUU